RNAcentral lists this non-coding RNA (27 nucleotides) under Homo sapiens (human). The record is from RNAcentral. Lineage: Eukaryota; Metazoa; Chordata; Mammalia; Primates; Hominidae.
GAUUGUGGAGUUCUUUGCCAAUUGGUC